Molecule: ribosomal RNA, 434 nt
Filed under: uncultured Clostridium sp.
Lineage: Bacteria; Bacillati; Bacillota; Clostridia; Eubacteriales; Clostridiaceae
Description: bacterial SSU rRNA
Rfam family: Bacterial small subunit ribosomal RNA
Source: RNAcentral
ACGGGAGGUAGCAGUGGGGAAUAUUGCACAAUGGGGGAAACCCUGAUGCAGCAACGCCGCGUGAGUGAUGACGGUCUUCGGAUUGUAAAGCUCUGUCUUCAGGGACGAUAAUGACGGUACCUGAGGAGGAAGCCACGGCUAACUACGUGCCAGCAGCCGCGGUAAUACGUAGGUGGCAAGCGUUGUCCGGAUUUACUGGGCGUAAAGGGAGCGUAGGCGGAUUUUUAAGUGGGAUGUGAAAUACCCGGGCUCAACCUGGGUGCUGCAUUCCAAACUGGAGAUCUAGAGUGCAGGAGGGGAAAGUGGAAUUCCUAGUGUAGCGGUGAAAUGCGUAGAGAUUAGGAAGAACACCAGUGGCGAAGGCGACUUUCUGGACUGUAACUGACGCUGAGGCUCGAAAGCGUGGGGAGCGAACAGGAUUAGAUACCCUGGUA